This 253-nucleotide ribosomal RNA is filed under the name uncultured bacterium. RNAcentral's name for it is "partial 16S ribosomal RNA". It matches the Rfam family "Bacterial small subunit ribosomal RNA", at positions 524 to 776 of the family's 1533-position model. The record is from RNAcentral.
UACGUAGGGUGCAAGCGUUGUCCGGAAUUAUUGGGCGUAAAGAGCUCGUAGGCGGUUUGUCGCGUCUGCUGUGAAAACCCGGGGCUCAACUCCGGGCCUGCAGCCGAUACGGGCAGACUAGAGUUCGGCAGGGGAGACUGGAAUUCCUGGUGUAGCGGUGAAAUGCGCAGAUAUCAGGAGGAACACCGGUGGCGAAGGCGGGUCUCUGGGCCGAUACUGACGCUGAGGAGCGAAAGCGUGGGGAGCGAACAGG